UCAUCCUUUAUAACCUUUAUUGGUUAAGACCAUUUUUUAGUCCGUUGGGUAUAAAGAUGUUUCACCACAAAUGAUUGAAUUUGAGCUUGGUCAUUAAGCAAAGAUUUUCUUAGCCAAGAUGAUUUAUAGUUGCCACUUCGGAACUAAGCAUCCCACAUUCCACAGCCAACAAGUAUCAACGGCAAAAGAGGAGGGAAGGGGCCCAUGAAUUCAUAUAGAGCUGAUCUGCAGCCGCUGUGCGAAUUACACUACCUCAGUACCAAGGUACAUAAAUGGACAGAAUGAUUUGCAUUGCAUGCACCGAGGCCGUGACGCAGAAUCAAGCUAGGUCUACUACCCAAUUGGAUGACCGUUCCAAAGCACUCUACAAGAUAACCAAGCCAUGUCAUAAGGCCAGAACUUGAGACUUGAGGUCGAUUCCGUUGAAUAUGAAUGUUCCAUUCAGUGGCACAAACUGCUUGGUCACCAGCU
Molecule: long non-coding RNA, 471 nt
Filed under: Triticum aestivum (bread wheat)
Lineage: Eukaryota; Viridiplantae; Streptophyta; Magnoliopsida; Poales; Poaceae
Description: long non-coding RNA (TAES_LNC009065)
Source: RNAcentral